This 329-nucleotide ribosomal RNA is filed under the name Siphonaria sp. UF 322435. RNAcentral's name for it is "partial 12S ribosomal RNA". Lineage: Eukaryota; Metazoa; Mollusca; Gastropoda; Siphonariida; Siphonariidae. The record is from RNAcentral.
UUGAGCUCAAACACCUCCCUAAGUAGUAAGACUUUAAAGUUAAAACUUAAAGAACAUGGCGGCUUAAAUUAUUCAGGGGAACUUACUACAUAAACGAUGAUCCACGAGUCCACAUUCCUGUUUUCAGAGCUUAUAUACCGCCGUUUAGUACUUAAUUGAGUUAAGCACAAACAAAACCCUUUUUUAAAUCAGGUCAUGGUGUAGCAAAUAAACAGGUGUAAGCGAGUUACAAUAAAAAUUCUUUUCGGAUAAGUUCUAUAAAUGCUAUUAAAGUUGGACUUGAAAGUAAAAUUAAAUAAAAAUAAAAUUUGAAUUUUUUAUUUAAGUGU